CCCCUCCCGCCCGUUCUCGCGGGAGUUGGCGACCUCGCGGGAUCAGGGGCGUUGGCACAAGCCCAGCCGCGGCUUAAACACGCCUGAGCGGUACGGUACGGCACGGGCCGGGCGGGGGAGCGGGCAACCAGCAGGGCCUGGGAAGCACCCCCAGAGCACAGGCAGAGCCAUGAGGUGUCCGUGCACAGGCUUCCCUCGUUCAGUGCGUGCGAAUUCACUCUUCCGCAGUGACCCUUUUUAUGCCAAGAAUCGGCUGUGUGCGAGCACAGAAAUUUACUGCACUGCUGGAUACCACUUGUAGAAUCAGAGAGCUGGAAGAGACUCCAAAGGAUCAUUGGGACCAGCCCCCUGAAUGAGCAGCAAAGACAUCUGGGGUCAGAUGACCCCAACCAGGUGACCGCCUAAUCUUCUCUUGAAGACCUCCAAGGAACAGAACAACUCAUCCAGAUCAGUUGCUUGGCUCACACAAUUGAGCACCCUGAUUGUGGCCAGUACCAGCUAUUUCAGAGGAAGGUGCAAAAGGUCCUGGUGCAAGGACUUACAAGAUACCCCCCCGUAAUGAAAGUCCCAUCCUAAUCCCUAUCUGCGAGAGGUCAGCUGAGCUCUGGACCAUGAAGAGGGAAGCUUUCUGUUCCUUACAAAUUAUAUUUUGCAUUCUUUUGUUUGGGUGUUGCCAUGCUUUGCUCAAAGCAGCAUUUAGUUUGUAUAAUGUACUGUAUCUGUCCUCCCCUCUACCCCCACUUAUAAUCUUACAAGGUCUUUGCUUCCAUUACAGUUGGUGGCAAUGCAUUCCCCUGCCAAGAGUGUGUUGUUUACCCACAUAUCUCUUUCAAUCAGUUUGAAGGUUGCUGCCUUUCAGUUUCUUUGAAAAUGGCCAUGGUGCUUAUUUCUGGAGUAGCCAUGAAUAAAAGCUCCCAAUCCACCUUC
Alligator mississippiensis (American alligator) is the source of this 927-nucleotide long non-coding RNA. RefSeq lists it as uncharacterized. The record is from RefSeq and is a predicted model, not a curated record. NCBI's taxonomy places the organism in Eukaryota, Metazoa, Chordata, Crocodylia, Alligatoridae. The transcript has 3 exons.